UGGGGAAUAUUGCACAAUGGGGGAAACCCUGAUGCAGCGACGCCGCGUGAGCGAAGAAGGCUUUCGAGUCGUAAAGCUCUGUCCUAUGAGAAGAUAAUGACGGUAUCAUAGGAGGAAGCCCUGGCUAAAUACGUGCCAGCAGCCGCGGUAAUACGUAUGGGGCGAGCGUUGUCCGGAUUUACUGGGCGUAAAGGGUGCGUAGGUGGUCUUUCAAGUCGGUGGUUAAAGGCUACGGCUCAACCGUAGUUAGCCUCCGAAACUGGAAGACUUGAGUGCAGGAGAGGAAAGUGGAAUUCCCAGUGUAGCGGUGAAAUGCGUAGAUAUUGGGAGGAACACCAGUAGCGAAGGCGGCUUUCUGGACUGCAACUGACACUGAGGCACGAAAGCGUGGGUAGCAAACAGG
Molecule: ribosomal RNA, 403 nt
Filed under: Verrucomicrobiota bacterium
Lineage: Bacteria; Pseudomonadati; Verrucomicrobiota
Description: Verrucomicrobia bacterium partial 16S ribosomal RNA
Rfam family: Bacterial small subunit ribosomal RNA
Source: RNAcentral